GGAAGGUGGGGAUGACGUCAAGUCAUCAUGGCCCUUACGGCCAGGGCUACACACGUGCUACAAUGGUCGGUACAAAGGGUUGCCAAGCCGCGAGGUGGAGCUAAUCCCAUAAAACCGAUCGUAGUCCGGAUCGCAGUCUGCAACUCGACUGCGUGAAGUCGGAAUCGCUAGUAAUCGUGAAUCAGAACGUCACGGUGAAUACGUUCCCGGGCCUUGUACACACCGCCCGUCACACCAUGGGAGUGGGUUGCUCCAGAAGUAGCUAGUCUAACCCUCGGGAGGACGGUUACCACGGAGUGAUUCAUGACUGGGGUGAAGUCGUAACAAGGUAGCCGUAGGGGAACCUGCGGCUGGAUCACCUCCUUA
Molecule: non-coding RNA, 366 nt
Filed under: Corchorus olitorius
Lineage: Eukaryota; Viridiplantae; Streptophyta; Magnoliopsida; Malvales; Malvaceae
Description: Bacterial small subunit ribosomal RNA
Rfam family: Bacterial small subunit ribosomal RNA
Source: Rfam by way of RNAcentral